RNAcentral lists this ribosomal RNA (488 nucleotides) under Schwanniomyces polymorphus. RNAcentral describes it as "partial large subunit ribosomal RNA". It matches the Rfam family "Eukaryotic large subunit ribosomal RNA", at positions 110 to 603 of the family's 3401-position model. The record is from RNAcentral. Lineage: Eukaryota; Fungi; Ascomycota; Pichiomycetes; Serinales; Debaryomycetaceae.
CAAAUUUGAAAUCUGGCACCUUCGGUGUCCGAGUUGUAAUUUGAAGAAGGUAACUUUGGAGUUGGCUCUUGUCUAUGUUCCUUGGAACAGGACGUCACAGAGGGUGAGAAUCCCGUGCGAUGAGAUGCCCAAUUCUAUGUAAAGUGCUUUCGAAGAGUCGAGUUGUUUGGGAAUGCAGCUCUAAGUGGGUGGUAAAUUCCAUCUAAAGCUAAAUAUUGGCGAGAGACCGAUAGCGAACAAGUACAGUGAUGGAAAGAUGAAAAGAACUUUGAAAAGAGAGUGAAAAAGUACGUGAAAUUGUUGAAAGGGAAGGGCUUGAGAUCAGACUUGGUAUUUUGCAAGCCUUACCUUCGUGGUGGGGUCCCCUGCAGUUUACUGGGCCAGCAUCGGUUUGGAUGGUAGGAUAAUGACUUGGGAAUGUGACUUUGCUUCGGUAAAGUGUUAUAGCCCUUGUUGAUACUGCCUGUCUAGACCGAGGACUGCGUCUU